Molecule: long non-coding RNA, 2317 nt
Organism: Motacilla alba alba
Lineage: Eukaryota; Metazoa; Chordata; Aves; Passeriformes; Motacillidae
Exons: 4
Source: RefSeq, a predicted model, not a curated record
AUGAGGAAUCCUCAAGGGUGAUGGGAGGAGGCAUUUUUGUUGGCACACUCUUGCGUUUGCGAGACCCUCCUUCCAAGGACCCCUGGAAUGUUUCCAUGUUUUCAAGAGGAGGAGGACCAUAGCGGAAAUGCGACAGGUGGGCAAAAUAACCACUAUAAAACUAAAUAUAGAACUGAUGUCAACAAAACCCCUUGGACUCCAGAGUAACUGACACCUAAAAAUGCUCUGAGCAUAUCUGAUGUGAUGAGGUGCCAACCUCCAGUUAUCUGUGGCCUCCUCAGACAUCCAGGAAUGAUGGUAAAUUAUGCUCAGAUGCCUCAGCACCCUGAGAACAACUGGUCUGCCUAUGUAAGAUUGAAGCAAAGAAGGCACAAAGUACCUCAGCCUUUUCUUCAACAUUUGACACUAAGUUUCACCCCACAUCCAACAAAGAAUGAAGAUUCUCCUUGGCUCUCUUUUUCAUGUGAAUGUAUACAUGGAAACAUUUUGUGUUAUUUUUUUGGUGGGAGUAGCUGGAUUAGUUCGAGUUGGGCUUUGGCCUCUCCAAUUUUGUCUCUGCAUAAGUUCGUGACAUCCAUGUAGCCCUCCUGAGGGAUGCACUUACACAAUUGUGUGUGUUUGUGUGCGUGUAUCUAGCCAACCAGGCAAAGGUUAGGCUGGAAAACUACACACAUUUUUCCUCUAUCAUCUGUGACAUGUUGAUUCUAUUUAUAACAUCAUUCUUGGAAAUGCUGGGUGGAGAGCAUGAAGGUGAGUGGAGCACUAAAUACACUCCUAUUUCUAUUUCAGGAAGCUCCAUGCUGGAUAAGCCUUCUUCCAAAGAUAGAUGAAAGCACAUCUCUGUGACCUAGUUAAGCCAUGGGCAAGAGAAGGAAUCUUUAAAAACUUUCUGUAAACAGACUGUUUCUUUCUAAGACUGUAGACUCAGAAAUUAUCUUUGAGAUAAAAGUGUGAAAAUAAAGGCUCAGUGACAAAACUCUAAGACAGAAAGUUUAGAAAAAAGGAUCAAACAACUCACAAAGAAGGAGGACUAACUAAAGGAAAAAUUGAAAGAUAUCUAAACUUAUGACUCAAAAAUCACAUUGGAUAGAGGGAAAAGGUAAAAUAAUUGCUUACAACUUGGACAAGUAAAUCAUAAUUAUACCACAAUAUUACUUUCAGUUGCUAGCGCACUGACUGGAAAUAGUGCACAUAUAUACACACAAUAUCAAGUCAAGUAAUCAUGGAAUAUCCUUAUUUGCAAGGGACCCACAAGGAUCAUCAAAGUCCAACUCUCAGCCCUGAACAGGACACCCUCAAGCAUUACACCAUAUGCCUGAGACAACCUGAGUUGUCCAAAUGCUUCUUGAACUCUGUCAGGUUUGGUGCUGUGACCAUUUCCCUUGGGAGCCUCUUCCAGGUGUGAACCACCAUCUGUGUGAAACAUCUACUCUUGAUAUUCAAACCAAAUGGCCCCUGACUCUGUAUCAGGCUGUUUCCUCAAUUCUCGUCACUGGUCACCAGAGAGAAGAGACUGUUACCUGCCCUGCCUCUUCCCCUCCUGAGGAAGUUGUGGGCUGCAAUGAGGUCUUCCCUCAGUCUCUUCUUCUCCAGGCUGAAAAGGACAAAUGACCUCAACUGGUCUCCAUAUGGCAUCCCCUCAAGGCCCUUCACCAUUUUCUUUUAUAUCCUUCAUAUACCAUGGUACCCAAAACUGCACACUAUGAUGUCUGUGUGCAUGCAUACAUAUAUAUGUAAUAUAUGUGUGUAUGUCUCAUCAGAGAGAAUCUCUGCUGGAUAUUUAUCCUAAUGUUUCCUUGUCACCCUAGCUCCCUAGUCAAAAUAAGGAACAGUUAGAUCUUGAAAACUCUUUGGGUACAAAGGUUUGGCUUAUUUAAAAAGGGAGAAGGGGUAAGAAAUCCCUCCAAAUAUUGAUUUCUUUCCAAAAGAAAAAAAUUGCUUUUAAAAAUCAUUUUUAGCAGAGUAAACUUAUACAAUUCGGACACAAUGCUUAUAGAUCAAAAACUUCCCUGUAAAGUAUGUGCCUCAAACAUCUUCAAAUUUAUCUCAUUUUCCCCCAGCAAUAAGGGUACAGAAUUCUUCAGAAAGUGCAUAGCAAUUGAGGACCCAGCUAUGUUAUUUACUGCUUUUGUUGGAUUACUGAAAUGCUGCCAAAAGCACACAGAAAUGACAGUGAGUUUUUCCAAUUGCUUUUUUGUUUCUUGGCUGCCAGUUACUCCCCUCUUCCACACACAGUUUUGUGCAAAGUUUCACUCUUUCUGAACACAGAGCUGUAGAACCCCCUGAAAUUACUAGAAAGAAACAUUUUCCUUGCACU